This is a long non-coding RNA of Aquila chrysaetos chrysaetos, 512 nucleotides long. RefSeq lists it as uncharacterized. The transcript has 2 exons. The record is from RefSeq and is a predicted model, not a curated record. Lineage: Eukaryota; Metazoa; Chordata; Aves; Accipitriformes; Accipitridae.
CUCUCCCAUCCCACUGGCUGAGGGGAGUGAGCGAGUGGCUGCUUGGUGCUUAGUUGCUGGCUGGGGUUAAACCACGACAUGCAGUGAUCAGAUUAUUCUUCUGCCACCCCAUUCUGGCCAGGCAAUAGAUGAUUAUCAGGUUCAAGCCCAAAAAAGCCAAUGCUAAACAGCUACAGUAAGUUUAACACUAUUUGCAGCAACACUAAGGUACCUGUGAACACUAAUACAUAUUACAGCAUCAGCUAGGAAACUUAAUGUGCAAAAGGACUGAAAUGGACGAGUAGAAUUUUUUUUUUUUUUUUUUUUUUUUUAAGAGAAGGCCAAGAGGUGAACUAAUUGUUCUCUUCAACUGAGGGAGAUUCUGGGGAAAACAGCCUUAUACUCAGAGGUGCAUGGCAAAAGGACUGGAUGCAGCAGACAUGGGUUGCAGCAAGCUUGGUUACUUUGUUUCAUACACACGUCCUAUGAAUAGGAUUCAUACAGGUGUUUGGAGCCAAGGAUUCAUUUUUUUC